GCUGUCGUCGCAUAACCUGGUAUUGCACAGGCCUGGAAAGCCUGACCCGCAAGGGUAUCCCGGUUCAAAUCCGGGCGACAGCG
Molecule: transfer RNA, 83 nt
Filed under: Candidatus Woesearchaeota archaeon
Lineage: Archaea; Nanobdellati; Candidatus Woesearchaeota
Description: tRNA-Ser
Rfam family: tRNA
About the family: Transfer RNA (tRNA) molecules are approximately 80 nucleotides in length. Their secondary structure includes four short double-helical elements and three loops (D, anti-codon, and T loops).
Source: RNAcentral